GGGCUCCUAAGUCACGGGGUACAGACCCGAAGCCAGGUGACCUACCCAUGGGCAGGGUGAAGUGCGCUUGACCGCGCACGGAGGCCCGAACCCGUUGGUCGUGCAACGCCAUGGGAUGACCUGUGGGUAGGGGUGAAAAGCCAAUCGCACUUGGUGAUAUCUGGUUCUCCCCGAAAUGGCUCUAGGGUCAGCCUCACGUCAGAGGCGGCCGGGGGUAGAGUACUGGCUGGGGAAGGGGGGAAACCUCCGACCCCAAUCAAACUCCGAAUACCGGCACGCCGUUCCGUGGGAGUGAGUCGGCGGGGGAUAACCUCCGUUGACGAGAGCGAAACAACGCAGACCACCAGCUAAGGCCCCAAAAUCCAGGCUAAGUGGGGAAGGCGGUGUGGUCGCUUAAACAGCUGGGAGGUUGGCUUAGAAGCAGCCAUCCUUUAAAGAGUGCGUAAUAGCUCACCAGUCUAGUGAUCGCGCGCCGAAAAUGUACCGGGGCUAAGCCUGGUGCCGAAGCUGUGGGGCGUCCACCGUAUGGUGGGCGUUGGUAGGGGAGCAUUCCGCGGUAGGUUGAAGCCGGGUCGCGAGGCCCGGUGGACGAUGCGGAAGUGAGAAUGCCGGCAUGAGUAGCGAAAGAUGGGUGAGAAUCCCAUCCACCGAAUGCCCAAGGUUUCCUGGGGAAGGCUGAUCCACCCAGGGUUAGGCGGGCCUAAGCCAAAGCCGAAAGGCCUAGGCGAUGGACAGCCGGUCAACAUUCCGGCCCCUCCGGAUCCGCGUUAUGAGCGAAGGGGGGACGCCGCUGGAGCUUCCUCGCAGGUUGACGGCUACACCUGUCCAAGCGUCAAGCCAGAGGGGGUAGGCAAAUCCGCUCCCUCGCAACCGUCUUGUCCCACCUUCGGGUGGGGCGGGGCGAACAGGCGAGGCGUGAUGGCAAGCCCCGUAAGGGGCGGAGGGGGAAAGGUUCAGCGGCCGAGAAAAGCCUCUAGCCAGUUGGUCCGGAGUCCGUACCGCAAACCGACACUGGUGGGCGAGGAGAGUAUCCACAGGUGGGCGAGCUAACCCUCGUCAAGGAACUCGGCAAAAUGGCCCCGUAACUUCGGGACAAGGGGCGCCUGCUGGGUUGUCGGGGAAACCCGAUGGCUUGGCAGGCCGCAGAGAAACGGCUCAGGCGACUGUUUACCAAAAACACAGGUCCCUGCCAACCCGAAAGGGGAUGUAUAGGGGCUGAAACCUGGCCACUGCCGGUAGGUCAAGGGGAGGGGUGCAAGCUCCGAACUGAAGCCCCGGUGAAGGCCGGCCGUAACUAUAACGGUCCUAAGGUAGCGAAGUUCCUUGUCGGGUAAGUUCCGACGCGCAUGAACGGAACAACGACUUGAGCGCUGUCUUGACGAGGGGCUCGGUGAACUCGAAGCACGGGUGAAGAUUCCCGUGACCCGCGGUGGGACAGAAAGA
RNAcentral lists this ribosomal RNA (1443 nucleotides) under Candidatus Bipolaricaulota bacterium. RNAcentral describes it as "partial 23S ribosomal RNA". It matches the Rfam family "Bacterial large subunit ribosomal RNA", at positions 690 to 2088 of the family's 2925-position model. Lineage: Bacteria; Candidatus Bipolaricaulota. The record is from RNAcentral.